AUGGGCAUUAAUUUCUUAGUGAUCAGCAAGUUGGUUCCUUUUUGGUUGAUGCUAUCAGCUGCUUGCCUGGGUGAUCUAGUGAGGAAUUUUGUCAAUGAACUCCGCAUGUCAAAAAUUGAUGAGAAGUACGUAUCAAUUUGCUUGACCAUUAUGCACUAUGAAUUCAAGUUGAAGUGUCAAUGUUCUGCUAUUAAUUUCAAAAUAUCUUAUGAAUUAGACCCCACUCUCCCAAUUUUUUCCCUACUGAUAUUUUUUAACACUCUUCGUACCAGGUCACGAUCUGCUCCACCAUAUUCUGCUUGCACUUGA
Molecule: ribosomal RNA, 309 nt
Filed under: Triticum aestivum (bread wheat)
Lineage: Eukaryota; Viridiplantae; Streptophyta; Magnoliopsida; Poales; Poaceae
Description: partial small subunit ribosomal RNA
Source: RNAcentral